This 334-nucleotide unclassified non-coding RNA is filed under the name soil metagenome. Its description in RNAcentral is "partial contains 5.8S ribosomal RNA, internal transcribed spacer 2, and large subunit ribosomal RNA". The stretch from base 1 to 120 matches the Rfam family "5.8S ribosomal RNA", at positions 35 to 154 of the family's 154-position model. The record is from RNAcentral.
GAUGAAGAACGUAGCGAAAUGCGAUAAGUAAUGUGAAUUGCAGAAUCCAGUGAAUCAUCGAAUCUUUGAACGCACAUUGCGCCCGCCAGUAUUCUGGCGAGCAUGCCUGUUCGAGCGUCAUUUCAACCAUCAAGCCCCAGGCUUGUGUUGGAGCCCUGCGGCUGCCGCAGCCUCCCAAAACCAGUGGCGGGCUCGCUAUCACACCGAGUGCAGUAGUUUACUCUUCGCUCAGGGCGUGUGGCGGGUGCUAGCCGUGAAACCCCCAACUUCUCAAGGUUGACCUCGGAUCAGGUAGGAAUACCCGCUGAACUUAAGCAUAUCAAUAAGCGGAGGA